AAACAUUCAAAUAAAAAUAAAUAAAUAAAAGUUUAACCAGUUUUUUCAAAAACAUCAUUGGAUUUUGGAUGUAGUUCAGGUGGGGAGUUUAUAGAAACAUGGCAACCCUCCCUGCCUACUUUGGGUCACUGCCAUUUUAAAGGUACAUUAUACAAGAUCAGAAACUUUGGUCAGAAGAAGCCUCAAAGUUGUUUUUUUUUAAACUUUAUAUUUCUGGACAUUCUGUGGUACUUUAUUUUCUGUGUUAUUUUUAUUUCCUUUUCAUGGAGCAGUUUUUUUGAGCACAGAGAAUGAUCUUGAUGUGCAGGUGAAAGUUCAGACUGAGAUGGAGGGUUGGGGCUCUGUGGGAUUUCUAUAAAUGACUGAGACGAGAUUCAGUCACAUAAUACACUCGUGUUGAGGUCAUGACUUACAUCAGUAUUAUUUAUUCACUAUAUUCCAGGUUCUAUGUGUUAGGAACAAAGAGAAAAAACUGGACUUUUACAUUAAAGUAAAAACUUUGUCCUGUUUUUUUCAGUCACCAUCACACACUCAGUCUGAAGCGUUCUGUCUCUUACACUAAUAUUAUUUAUUUAUAGGAUUUAUCAGUUAUUAAUCUAAUAUGAAGCCACAAUAAUAAGCCAAGUGUUUAAGGGGAUUAAAUUAGAAAUGUGACAAGAAAAGUGUGAAAUAUUCUAAUAAAUGUAAGUGAACAGAAUUCAGUAAACAGAACAGUGCAGUUAAUGUCAAAGUUUAGACAAUAAACAGGAAAAAAAACUGUUCAGUGUUUCUUCAUCAUCUGAAUCUGAAUCUCUCUACAGGAUGGAAACACACAUCAUCACAGUGUUCAGUACAACACAACGUCCGAAAGUGUGAUGUACACAACAGUCAACACACAAACACAGGGUUAAUGACCAACACAAGAUGGUCUGCUCUGAUCGUAACAUGGAUUUCAUUCAUUCAUUCAUUCACUCAUUUUCUACCGCUUAUCCAAACUACCUCGGGUCAUGGGGAGCCUGUGCCCAGGCUCCCCAUGAAUCUCAGGCUUCAUCGGGCAUCAAGGCAGGAUACACCCUGGACAGAGUGCCAACCAUCAUGGAUUUCAGAUCAUCUUAAACUUCAUCCCUGAGCCACUGAGCUGAUGUUCAUCUCUGCAGCUUCAUCACCAUGUCAGGAUCUUCUGAUUUACUGCAGAACUCUCAGAUAGCACAUCAUGGGCCAUCAGUUACUCUUCUAUCUAACCUGACUUGGUCUUGGUCAUGUGAUGUUACACUAAAUAAUGAACUGUGAACAGCUUUAAUUUUUACAUUUAUAUUUUUAUUUGUUGUUUUAUUUUGAUGUGGUUUGUUUGCAGCAGUGGACACAGUAUGUACAAUGGCUGAAGUCAUGUGCAGGAACUUUGUAGUUGAGGAGGAACCUGGGUUCAGCUCCUCUCAGUAAUAUAAAUUAAUAUCAUGCACUGUUACUGAAGUUUUAUUACAGGGGUGUUUUUUUUUUUACUAAAUCUUUACUUUUUUAAAAUAUAAUAAGAAGAAAUAAUAGUAUGCGUGCAUGAGUGUGUGCAAGUGUGUGUGUGUGAGAGAGAGUGUGUACUGCAUAGGAGAUAGGUGCUAGUGGCUAACAGAUUUAGAAGAUGAAGCCUUUAUUUUUGUCACAUCUCCAUUACUUUUUACUUCUUUGAGUACUGGAACUGAUGCUGUUUUUGCCUGCAUGCAUAUUUUACAGUGAAAAACGUAUUUAAGAAAUACUUGAUGGGAGUAAAAUGGUACAUGUCUUAUGGUUUUUUAAUAUAUUGAUUAUAUGAAGCCCCAUUAAAUGUAGAAUUUAUAUGUAAAUAUUUACAGUAAACAAUAUUUAUUAUUUUAUCAAUAAGAAAUAUUCUUCAUUCUUCACUGACAGUAUUGUCUGAUUUUUUUUGGGAAUGUAAUGAUAUCUAAAGUCAUAGUAACGAUGUCUAAACAUCCUCGUGCUCUUCCUAGAACAGUCGUGUGAAGACGAGUGAAGAUGAUUUUCAGACUUCACAGCACAUUGGUUUGGAUUACUGUUGUUUGGAUCCGAGAUGAAGUUUCAUCUACAAAUGAAAUGCUGUCCUCUGGUGUUUUCAGGAAGGCGGUUUCCGGAGUUAAUAGGAGGACACCUCCGAUUGGUUAUAAUCUCCAUCUGUUCCAGAUAAAAGGCCUGUCUGGAUCCCUGAUUGUGACCUCUUUGCCUCUUGUGCAAUUGUGUUUGCUUUGUGUUCAUUGCAUUGUCUAUUUGUAUGCUAUAUUCUCUGAAUGUUAACCCUUUUCAGUCAUUUUUGAUUGUCCCAUCUUAGAGAGAAAGUUUGUAUUCCGAGUGUGUUGAGCUUGUGAGUUUUGUUUUGGUUUAUAUUUAUUAUUUCAACUGGUUGUGCUUGACCCAUGUCUGAUAUAGACUACGAUUACAGACUCUGUUUUGACUUGUUAGCCAGCCAAUUUCAUUAUACACCUUUUCCCAAAACAUGGUGACAAGGUAUUUUGGAAACUUUUAUUAUAUUGUUUUUGUUAGAGGGAGUUAGGUAAGAAGAAAUGUAUUUUUUUUUUCAUUUUUCAGUUUAGUAAGAGAGAGAGACAGGUGUUUGGAAGAUUGUUCUAUUUAUUAUUUUGGCCUUGUCCUCCUCUGAAGCCUAAAAUCCUUGUCCACCCUUAAAUAAAAGAUUGUGAAUUAUAA
Long non-coding RNA from Tachysurus fulvidraco (yellow catfish), 2667 nucleotides. RefSeq lists it as uncharacterized. The transcript has 3 exons. The record is from RefSeq and is a predicted model, not a curated record. NCBI's taxonomy places the organism in Eukaryota, Metazoa, Chordata, Actinopteri, Siluriformes, Bagridae.